RNAcentral lists this ribosomal RNA (449 nucleotides) under uncultured bacterium. RNAcentral's name for it is "partial 16S ribosomal RNA". It matches the Rfam family "Bacterial small subunit ribosomal RNA", at positions 328 to 793 of the family's 1533-position model. The record is from RNAcentral.
CGUCCAGACUCCUACGGGAGGCAGCAGUGGGGAAUAUUGCACAAUGGGGGAAGCCCUGAUGCAGCGACGCCGCGUGAGCGAAGAAGUACCUCGGUAUGUAAAGCUCUAUCAGCAGGGAAGAAAAUGACGGUACCUGACUAAGAAGCCCCGGCUAACUACGUGCCAGCAGCCGCGGUAAUACGUAGGGGGCAAGCGUUAUCCGGAUUUACUGGGUGUAAAGGGAGCGUAGACGGCAGUGCAAGUCCGGAGUGAAAGCCCGGGGCUCAACCCUGGGACUGCUCUGGAAACUGUAAAGCUGGAGUGCGGGAGGGGCAGGCGGAAUUCCUGGUGUAGCGGUGAAAUGCGUAGAUAUCAGGAGGAACACCGGCGGCGAAGGCGGCCUGCUGGACCGUAACUGACGUUGAGGCUCGAAAGCGUGGGGAGCAAACAGGAUUAGAUACCCCUGUAAA